ACCUGGCUGGCUCAGUUGGUAGAGCAUGUGACUCUUGAUUUCAGGGUUGUGGGUUCAAGCCCCAUGUUGAGUG
Molecule: transfer RNA, 73 nt
Filed under: Felis catus (domestic cat)
Lineage: Eukaryota; Metazoa; Chordata; Mammalia; Carnivora; Felidae
Also listed under: 6 other names
Rfam family: tRNA
About the family: Transfer RNA (tRNA) molecules are approximately 80 nucleotides in length. Their secondary structure includes four short double-helical elements and three loops (D, anti-codon, and T loops).
Source: Rfam by way of RNAcentral